AACGAACGCUGGCGGCAUGCCUAACACAUGCAAGUCGAACGAGACCUUCGGGCCUCUUGGCGCUCCUGUGCGUCAGGCGUGGGAACCUGCCCUUAAGUUAGGCAUAACUGCCCGAAAGGGAUUGUAAUCACGAGCGAUCUCAUCGGGCCCAUGAUUUAUCGCCUUUGGGUGGGCCCGCGUUGGAUUAGCUAGUUGGUAGGGUAAAAGCCUACCAAGGCGACGUUCGUGAGCUGGGGGGAGGGGAUGAUCAGCCACAAUGGGACUGAGACACGGCCCAGAAUCCGACGGGAGGCAGCAGUGGGGAAUACUGGACAAUGGGCGACAGCCGGAUCCAGCAAUGCCGCGUGAGUGAUCAAGGCCUUAGGGUUGUAAAGCUCUCUUGCCCGUGACGAUAAUGACAGUACCGGGAGAAUAAGCGCCGGCUAACUCCGUG
Molecule: ribosomal RNA, 433 nt
Filed under: uncultured bacterium
Lineage: Bacteria
Description: partial 16S ribosomal RNA
Rfam family: Bacterial small subunit ribosomal RNA
Source: RNAcentral